GAUGAACGCUGGCGGCGUGCCUAAUACAUGCAAGUCGAGCGAACAGAUAAGGAGCUUGCUCCUUUGACGUUAGCGGCGGACGGGUGAGUAACACGUGGGUAACCUACCUAUAAGACUGGGUUAACUUCGGGAAACCGGAGCUAAUACCGGAUAACAUUUGGAACCGCAUGGUUCUAAAGUGAAAGAUGGUUUUGCUAUCACUUAUAGAUGGACCCGCGCCGUAUUAGCUAGUUGGUAAGGUAACGGCUUACCAAGGCGACGAUACGUAGCCGACCUGAGAGGGUGAUCGGCCACACUGGAACUGAGACACGGUCCAGACUCCUACGGGAGGCAGCAGUAGGGAAUCUUCCGCAAUGGGCGAAAGCCUGACGGAGCAACGCCGCGUGAGUGAUGAAGGGUUUCGGCUCGUAAAACUCUGUUAUUAGGGAAGAACAAAUGUGUAAGUAACUGUGCACGUUUUGACGGUACCUAAUCAGAAAGCCACGGCUAACUACGUG
This 497-nucleotide ribosomal RNA is filed under the name uncultured bacterium. RNAcentral's name for it is "partial 16S ribosomal RNA". It matches the Rfam family "Bacterial small subunit ribosomal RNA", at positions 28 to 507 of the family's 1533-position model. The record is from RNAcentral.